Non-coding RNA from Pyrenochaeta sp. MPI-SDFR-AT-0127, 86 nucleotides. The record is from the annotation of a GenBank genome assembly. NCBI's taxonomy places the organism in Eukaryota, Fungi, Ascomycota, Dothideomycetes, Pleosporales, Cucurbitariaceae.
GCAUCGGUGGUUUAGUGGUAAAAUUAGCCGUUGCCAUUCGCAAGAAUAGACUCGGCUAGCCCCGGGUUCGAUUCCCGGCCGAUGCA